Molecule: non-coding RNA, 88 nt
Organism: Henosepilachna vigintioctopunctata
Lineage: Eukaryota; Metazoa; Arthropoda; Insecta; Coleoptera; Coccinellidae
Source: the annotation of a GenBank genome assembly
UUGACGACUAGCUUAGGCUGGCUUAGCGGUCAAAAGCAGUGGGGCGUAAACCCAAAGAACCUGGGUUCGAAUCCCAGUCGAGUUCAAA